RNAcentral lists this ribosomal RNA (818 nucleotides) under Staphylococcus pasteuri. RNAcentral's name for it is "bacterial SSU rRNA". It matches the Rfam family "Bacterial small subunit ribosomal RNA", at positions 70 to 870 of the family's 1533-position model. Lineage: Bacteria; Bacillati; Bacillota; Bacilli; Caryophanales; Staphylococcaceae. The record is from RNAcentral.
GAUAAGGAGCUUGCUCCUUUGACGUUAGCGGCGGACGGGUGAGUAACACGUGGAUAACCUACCUAUAAGACUGGGAUAACUUCGGGAAACCGGAGCUAAUACCGGAUAACAUAUUGAACCGCAUGGUUCAAUAGUGAAAGGCGGCUUUGCUGUCACUUAUAGAUGGAUCCGCGCCGUAUUAGCUAGUUGGUAAGGUAACGGCUUACCAAGGCAACGAUACGUAGCCGACCUGAGAGGGUGAUCGGCCACACUGGAACUGAGACACGGUCCAGACUCCUACGGGAGGCAGCAGUAGGGAAUCUUCCGCAAUGGGCGAAAGCCUGACGGAGCAACGCCGCGUGAGUGAUGAAGGUCUUCGGAUCGUAAAACUCUGUUAUCAGGGAAGAACAAAUGUGUAAGUAACUGUGCACAUCUUGACGGUACCUGAUCAGAAAGCCACGGCUAACUACGUGCCAGCAGCCGCGGUAAUACGUAGGUGGCAAGCGUUAUCCGGAAUUAUUGGGCGUAAAGCGCGCGUACGCGGUUUUUUAAGUCUGAUGUGAAAGCCCACGGCUCAACCGUGGAGGGUCAUUGGAAACUGGAACACUUGAGUGCAGAAGAGGAAAGUGGAAUUCCAUGUGUAGCGGUGAAAUGCGCAGAGAUAUGGAGAGAACACCAGUGGCGAACGCGACUUUCUGGUCUGUAACUGACGCUGAUGUGCGAAAGCGUGGGGAUCAAACAGGAUUAGAUACCCUGGUAGUCCACGCCGUAAACGAUGAGUGCUAAGUGUUAGGGGGUUUCCGCCCCCUUAGUGCUGCAGCUAACGCAUUAAGCACUCC